AAAUAAUAAUUUUAGACAUCUUUAAUUUUUCAUUUAAAUUAUAAUAAAUGAGAAUUUAGUGUAUGACAGCCAUUUGUGCAUUAUGACAUUCAGAUCAACAUCAGGUAAAAUUGGGAUAAGACAAUCUGCAAAUUCUUUUUCAAAUAAGUCUUCAAAAACUAGGUAAAAAAAAAUAGAAUAACAAAUCACUUACAGGGGCAUAGCUAUUAUAAAAUGAAAAUUUUCCAAGACCAUUUUAUGCAGAAUUUUUUUUUUUUUUUAUUUCGGUCAUAGGAAGUUUGUGCUCAUAGGACUUAUAGACAUUCAUUUACGCAAACCUAUUCAGAAUUCAUUUGAAUAGGGUAAAUUAUGGUUCAUUGAAUACAUAAGCAACACACAUAUUUGUGAGACUGAAUUGACUCAAAAUUGUCAAAAAUCUGCUCUUCGGGUCUUGGCAGAAACAAACUUCUCCAUAACUUUGUCCAAUGAUAUUCACACUGAAAUUCUGAUGAAUAUGCAUUAAUGCUAGCAAUGAUGAUGACCUAUCAUUAUUCAUUGUUAAUUGUACAUAUGUUUUUAACCGACAUACUACACUGAACGAUCUAUCUGCAUUAGUGCUUGUUACCAGGAUUGUCAAUACAAAUGUACUCAAAAUAGUAUCUUUAUACAGCACUGGGCUUGUCACAUCGAAUGUCUCACACAUCCAAGUUGGCGUCUGAUCACAAGGUGUUAUACACCAGCGUGUUCUCAAUGAUGCAUUGAGUGACCUCUCAAUUGAUGUGAAUCGUAGUUUUUUUUAUGAUGCAUGAAACCAAAGUAAGACAACAAUUAAAAGAAGAAUGUGUCUGAAGGACAUUGAAUCCUGGCCUAACUAGAAAACCAUAUAUUGGAUGAGGGCACAAAUCAAACUUGAUCUUUCUUUUAUGGUACUUAGCAUUGUGUAUAAGUUUAAAAACAUUUGGUUGAGGCUUUAUUUAUGCUUUUACAUUCUGGCUUUUGUUAUGUACAUAUUUUUUUAUAUAUAUAUUUUUUGUAUAUAUUUUUUUAUAUUAUAUUGUAUAUAUUUUUUGGUGUAUUAUAGUGUUUAUUUAUUAAACUUGUUUAUAAAUAUUUUUUGUUUUAUAUUGGUCCGAGACCACAAUUGUCGUCCCUUGAUUUUCGUUUUUCACGAAUAUAGUCCCUAGUGUUCACAGUGGGUUACUUGCCAUUAAUUUUUAUACCCCUUCCUAAUUUAUUUCUCCAUGUGUAAUGCCUCAAAUUGCAAGUAGUGGGGUGAAAUUACACUGUUAAAAAAUUUGGGUCCAGAAUUUUAAAGGAAAGUAGUGGUUUGGUCCAGCUGAAAAAGGUUAAAAAUUAGCACUUCAAAAGCUGUCAAAAGAUUUCAAGACGCCCUAAACAUAAAAUUGUCCAUAUUUUGAGUUAGAGCUGAUGAAAUUUUUUAUAAUUUUGAUAUAAAUUGUCCCAAAAGUAGUACAACACACUGUAAAAAUUUCUUGGAGAAAGCGCAGGUGGGAUUUUUUUUAUUUUCAUUUAUGUUAUAAAAGAAAUGCACUAGUACGAAAUAAUUGUGGUCUCGGACCUAUUAACCCGAAUAAUUCAGUCCCUCCUCGUAAUUGAUCUCUCCUACUUGUGAGGGCCUGAAUUCCUACAUGAUAAAAACUCUUCAUGAAUCCUGGAUUUUGAUUGGUUCCCUAUAGAAGAGGUGACAUCAGCUCAAUUUUAUCAAGAUAGGUUAAUCCUGAGCUAAUUACGAUCGAAUGGUUGAUUGAAGAUUUUUCAUUGUCUAUGCGUUCAGGCAUUUAAAUGUAGUGAUCGUAGAUCAGUGGAAUAUAACAACUGAAUUAUUCGGGUUAAUUUUAGUAUUAUAUUUUUUAAACUAUUUUAUAUUUUUUUCUUUUUACCUGCAACUGUUGUACAGAUUGCAGGUAUACAAAUAGAUAUUUACUUAAAUUGUACCAUACCAAUAAUAUCUUAUUUUAUACUUCUAUGUUUUACAAAUAUUGCAAGUUCAUUAGUCGCC
This 1999-nucleotide long non-coding RNA is filed under the name Mytilus galloprovincialis (Mediterranean mussel). The record is from RNAcentral. Lineage: Eukaryota; Metazoa; Mollusca; Bivalvia; Mytilida; Mytilidae.